RNAcentral lists this long non-coding RNA (866 nucleotides) under Chinchilla lanigera (long-tailed chinchilla). Its description in RNAcentral is "lncRNA (ENSCLAG00000022462.1)". The record is from RNAcentral. Lineage: Eukaryota; Metazoa; Chordata; Mammalia; Rodentia; Chinchillidae.
UAGGAUUCACCAGUUACUGCACUUUUGCCAGAAAAUAAAAUAGUUUUGAGAGAAAGUUGUUAUCUGUGAACAAAUUACCUGACUGGUGAGGCCUUUCAGGAGUGCCGAAGGUUUUUCGGGUUCCGGUCUGAGUCCCGGAACGCCGGUAGCGCUCCUAGCUCCUACCGCGCGGACACUGGGUGAGCUGAGCGCUAACUGAACUUCAUUGCAUCGUUUACACGACAGCAUUACUGCGUAGGUCGACUCUCUGCUUACAGAUGAGAAGCUGAGACUUCGUUAACUCACUGCAGUGACGAAACUAAAAUGUAUAUGGAGGACCAGCACCAGAUUAGAAAUUGUGUGUUCAGAGAACUGUGAGACUAAACAGAAAGGAAAAUACGUCUUGGAGAAAACGGAGUUCAAUGGUAGGAGUGCUUGCCUUGCCUGUGGGAGGCACCAGGUUCAACCCUCAGUCCCCCCUCCCAAACACGCACAUACCAACAAAAGGGGGAAAAAAAACCCAGAAGUCUUAGAUUUAGGUACUGCUUUGUUCAUAUGUUUCAUAAUGACUUUAUAGUAAUAGAAACUGAUGCCUGAGGUGUUUGAGUUACUAAAUAUUGAGAAUUUAAAAUUAAUGUUGAAAUAUUGAAAUUUUAUGAAUUGCUAAAUUCAAAGUUAAAUAACCGUGUUUAAGUAGCCAUUCUAUUCAAAUACACUUUCAAAAUCUUUAAAGUGAAGUUACAUACUAAAGUAGUUCUAUUAUUAGGAGUAUUAUGUGUUUUCCACUGAUAUAUGAUCUAUACUAAAAAUUAAUUGACAAAUAAAACAACACUUUACUUAGAGUAUCAGAGGUCCUUGAUUCAGGCCAUCUCAAAAUCAGACUUCAA